CCUACGGGUGGCAGCAGUGAGGAAUAUUGGUCAAUGGGCGCGAGCCUGAACCAGCCAAGUCGCGUGAGGGAAGACGGUCCUAUGGAUUGUAAACCUCUUUUGUCGGGGAGCAAAAGACGCCACGCGUGGCGUUCCGAGAGGACCCGAAGAAAAAGCAUCGGCCAACUCCGUGCCAGCAGCCGCGGGAAUCCGGAGGAUGCGAGCUUUAUCCGGAUUUAUUGGGUGGAAAGGGUGCGCAGGCGGAAGAUCAAGUCAGCGGUACAAUUGAGCGGCUCAACCUCUUCGAGCCGUUGAAACUGGUUUUCUUGCGUGAGUGAGACGUAUGCGGAAUGCGUGGUGUAGCGGU
This 346-nucleotide ribosomal RNA is filed under the name uncultured bacterium. RNAcentral's name for it is "partial 16S ribosomal RNA". It matches the Rfam family "Bacterial small subunit ribosomal RNA", at positions 338 to 682 of the family's 1533-position model. The record is from RNAcentral.